GCCUAGCCCCGAUUGAAGCAAUUGUUUGAGCUCUUUUUUGUUUUUUUCAAACAAAAAAAGCGAGUGCGAAAAGCGGGAAACUGC
This 84-nucleotide small RNA is filed under the name Tenacibaculum soleae. Its description in RNAcentral is "Flavo-1 RNA". It matches the Rfam family "Flavo-1 RNA". Lineage: Bacteria; Pseudomonadati; Bacteroidota; Flavobacteriia; Flavobacteriales; Flavobacteriaceae. The record is from Rfam by way of RNAcentral.